GAGUUGUUUUUGUUGGAAACACUCUUUGUCAAGUACCUGGGGGUCUUCAUCAGUAAGACCUCAUUUUAGAUGCCUCCUGGCCUCCCCUUCCCAGGAGCACAGCUAUGACCUUAGGUACUCCUUCCGAAAAGAACUUGUUUAACUAAAGGUAAGUGUACCUCAUCCUCACCAUGGCCUCCUUCCACUGGGGAAGCAGAUAGCGCAGAAAAAAGAACACACCCAUUCCCCACAUACCUUCACACUCGUCACAUACCUGCUACGUGAGAUGUGCAAAGCUGAAUUCAGGGAAUGCUCAGUAGUUACAUAACAGUGCCACUAAAGGCAAUUGUUUUCAGUGAUUUCCAUCGAGCUGGGUUCUGCAAAGAUCCACAGCACUUUCCGGUUGCAUGCUGGGCACUUUUGGAAGCUGCAGUCAAUUCUGGAGGCCACCAGGGCACCAUUAGCACAUAGCAGCAAUUAUUGACUAAAUGGUGCUCUGGUUCCAUGCCUUCCAAGGGGGCCCACUUAGAGGCAGGGUGGAGUUGCUUAGGGCCUUUUUUUUUUUUUUUUUUUGUAGACGGAGUUUUGCUCUUGUUGCCCAAGCUGGAGUGCAAUGGUGCGAUCUUCGCUUACUGCAACCUCUGCUUCCUGGGUUCAAGUGAUUCCCCUGCCUCAGCCUCCCGAGUAGCAGGGAUUACAGAUGGAGCCUCGCUCUGUCACCCAGGCUGGAGUGCAGUGGCACAAUCUCGGGUCACUGCAACCUCCGCCCCCCAGCUUCAAGCGAUUCUCCUGUCUCAGCCUCCCGAGUAGCUAGGAUUACAGGUGCACGCCACCAGGCCUGGCUAAUUUUUAUAUUUUUAGUAGAGAUGGGAUUUUGCCUUGUUGGCCAGGCUGGUCUCAAACUCCUGACCUCAGGUGACCCAUCCACCUUGGCCUCCCAAAGUGCUGGGACUACAGGUGUGAGCCACCAUGCCUGGUCCCCCACUUGUUGAUUUUGCAGAAAAGAUAGCUGUGUUACAACCUGUCCUAAGGUCAGGUAUGAAUACUUGUGCUUCUUUCUUGGCUCCCCAAGCCAGAGGGCAUUCCUAUGCCCAGGUGAGAGAGCACGGAGUGUUACUUUGGCAGCACAGUCAGUUACCAGAGGUAGGAAAAGCAAAGGCCAGGCAGGACAUGAGGGGCCCUUGCACUGGCUGGUUCUCCCUGCCUUCACCACCCUCCAGGUGAAUGACUGGGUGAAUAAUGAUUGACUGAGGAGGUAAUGAAUAAUUUAUGGACACUGCUGGACCUCAGUCUCCUCAUCUGAAAGAUGAGUGGUUGGAGAAGUUUAAUGGUUUUCAAAUGCUUUUUUUUUCAGUCUUCAAAUAAGUGUUUACGUAGAAGCACCAUAUCUGAAACAGGUGACAGUGGACCAGUCUGAAUGAAAUGAGGGUUGGCAGGCCUGAGCUCCAAAACCUUCUGAUUGCCCAAGCCCUCCUUGUCUUGCUUGGAUUAUCUCCACACAAAUGGAGAAACUGGACAAG
Homo sapiens (human) is the source of this 1499-nucleotide long non-coding RNA. Ensembl annotates it as PAX8 antisense RNA 1. Its record names the gene PAX8-AS1. Lineage: Eukaryota; Metazoa; Chordata; Mammalia; Primates; Hominidae. The record is from Ensembl.